UGGGGAAUUUUGCACAAUGGGGGAAACCCUGAUGCAGCGACGCCGCGUGAUUUAGAAGGCCUUCGGGUUGUAAAAAUCUUUUUUACGGGAUGAAAAUGACAGUACCGUAAGAAUAAGGUCCGGCUAAAUACGUGCCAGCAGCCGCGGUAAUACGUAUGGACCGAGCGUUGUCCGGAAUCAUUGGGCGUAAAGGGUACGUAGGCGGCCUAGUAAGUUAGAAGUGAAAUAAUAUAGCUCAACUAUAUAAAGCUUUUAAAACUGCUAGGCUUGAGAGAUGGAAGUGAAAGUGGAAUUCCUAGUGUAGCGGUGAAAGGCGCAGAUAUUAGGAAGAAUACCGGUGGCGAAGGCGACUUUCUGGUCAUCAUCUGACGCUGAGGUACGAAAGCGUGGGUAGCAAGCAGG
RNAcentral lists this ribosomal RNA (402 nucleotides) under bacterium. RNAcentral's name for it is "partial 16S ribosomal RNA". It matches the Rfam family "Bacterial small subunit ribosomal RNA", at positions 355 to 776 of the family's 1533-position model. The record is from RNAcentral.